AACGAACGCUGGCGGCAGGCUUAACACAUGCAAGUCGAGCGCCCCGCAAGGGGAGCGGCAGACGGGUGAGUAACGCGUGGGAAUCUACCUUUUGCUACGGAAUAACUCAGGGAAACUUGUGGUAAUACCGUAUGUGCCCUUCGGGGGAAAGAUUUAUCGGCAAAGGAUGAGCCCGCGUUGGAUUAGGUAGUUGGUGGGGUAAUGGCCUACCAAGCCGACGAUCCAUAGCUGGUCUGAGAGGAUGAUCAGCCACAUUGGGACUGAGACACGGCCCAAACACCUACGGGAGGCGGAAGUGGGGAAUAUUGGACUAUGGGCGCAAGCCUAAUCCAGCCCUUCGGCGUGAGUGAUGAAGGCCCUAGGGUUGUAAAGCUCUUUCACCGGUGAAGAUAAUGACGGUAACCGGAGAAGAAGCCCCGGCUAACUUCGUGCCAGCAGCCGCCGUAA
RNAcentral lists this ribosomal RNA (447 nucleotides) under uncultured bacterium. RNAcentral's name for it is "partial 16S ribosomal RNA". It matches the Rfam family "Bacterial small subunit ribosomal RNA", at positions 29 to 523 of the family's 1533-position model. The record is from RNAcentral.